CCUACGGGAGGCAGCAGUGAGGAAUAUUGGUCAAUGGGCGGAAGCCUGAACCAGCCAAGUAGCGUGCAGGAUGACGGCCCUACGGGUUGUAAACUGCUUUUAUACGGGAAUAACGCGCCUUACGUGUAGGGCUUUGCAUGUACCGUAUGAAUAAGGACCGGCUAAUUCCGUGCCAGCGGCCGCGGUAAUACGGAGGGUCCGGGCGUUAUCCGGAUUUAUUGGGUUUAAAGGGAGCGUAGGCGGCAUGUCAAGCGUGCGGUGAAAUGUCCGGGCUCAACCCGGGCCUUGGAGGGCAUACUGGCGUGCUUGAGUCCGCGGAAGGCAGGCGGAAUUCGUGGUGUAGCGGUGAAAUGCUUAGAUAUGACGAAGAACCCCGAUUGCGAAGGCAGCUUGCUGCAGCGGAACUGACGCUGAUGCUCGAAAGCGCGGGUAUCGAACAGGAUUAGAUACCCGUGUAGUC
Molecule: ribosomal RNA, 460 nt
Filed under: uncultured bacterium
Lineage: Bacteria
Description: partial 16S ribosomal RNA
Rfam family: Bacterial small subunit ribosomal RNA
Source: RNAcentral